This is an RNA transcript of Solanum pennellii, 3078 nucleotides long. It is a transcript of the gene named receptor-like protein 9DC3, with no coding region annotated. The transcript has 2 exons. Lineage: Eukaryota; Viridiplantae; Streptophyta; Magnoliopsida; Solanales; Solanaceae. The record is from RefSeq and is a predicted model, not a curated record.
UUUUCAUUUGUGUGGAAAUAAAUUCAGCCUAAAACAGAUAUUGGAUAGAAUUUGAAUCUUUACAUCAAUUAAUUUAUAGUUUCUCAUAUUGUGAUCAAAGUACUUGACUCGAACAAUAUAUGCAAUCCUGGAUAUCGUCCCUUUCAUCACUAAACUUUGAGAACUAUAACAAUGUGUUUCUUUCGUUUUACUCUCCAGGAAGAUAGAAAAAAAAUGUUUAAUUAAGUUGUUAUGUUUCUUUCAAAGUCUAUACACCAAGAAAUAGUGGACUGGUGGUCCUAUUUCUGGAAUCCAAUUAAGUUGGCAAAACAAAUAAGGUAGCACACAAAAUAAAUGUGUAAUGUGUUAUAUAUGUAAAUGUGAACUAUUCAUAGUAGUAAAUGUUUAUUUGCGUAAUUUGUGCUAUAUAUACCUCAUCUAAAUUAUUGAAUAGACACACAAAGCAAACAUCUCUUAAUUAGUUUUGAUCAUUUUUAGUGCAGAAAUGGGUUGUGUAAAACUUGUGGUUUUUAUGCUAUAUACCUUUGUCUGUCAACUUGCUUUCUCCUCAUCCUCACCUCAUUUGUGCCAUGAAGAUCAAAUGAAUUGUUGCUCAUGGAAUGGAGUUCAUUGUGACGAGACGACAGGGCAAGUGAUUGAGCUUGAUCUCCGUUGCAGCCAACUUCAAGGCAAGUUUCAUUCCAAUAGUAGCCUCUUUCAACUCUCCAAUCUCAAAAGGCUUGAUCUGUCUCAUAAUAAUUUCACCAGAUCACUCAUUUCACCUAAAUUUGGUAAGUUUUCAAGUUUGAGACAUCUUGAUUUGUCGCGUUCAAGUUUUACGGGUGUAAUCCCUUCUGAAAUCUCUCAUCUUUCUAAACUAUACGUUCUGCGUAUCUCGACAUAUUAUCCAUAUGGGCUUAGUCUUGGGCCUCACAAUUUUGAACCGCUCCUUAAGAACUUGACCCAAUUAAGAGAGCUCAACCUUUACGAUGUGAACCUCUCUUCCACCAUUCCUUCCAAUUUCUCUUCUCAUUUAACAUAUCUACGGCUUCCAUACACAGAGUUACGUGGGAUAUUGCCCGAAAGAGUUUUCCACCUCUCCGACUUAGAAUAUCUCGAGUUAUCAUUCAAUCCCCAGCUCACGGUUAGGUUUCCCACAACCAAAUGGAAUAGCAGUGCAUCACUCAUCAAGUUAUAUCUCAAUAAUGUGGAUUUUACUGGUAGGAUACCUGAAUCAUUUAGCCAUCUAACUGCACUUCAUGUGCUGGACAUGAGUUAUACUAAUCUGUCAGGGCCCACAUAGAGAGUUUGUACCUUGAUUAUAACCAUCUUGAAGGACCAAUUUCCCAGUUCUCGAUAUUUGAAAAGCUCAACGAGUUAUCACUUAGAAAUAACAACUUUGAUGGCCAACUUGAGUUCUUAUCCUCUAACAGAAGCUGGACGGAGCUUGAAAUAUUAGAUUUUUCGUCCAAUUACCUUACUGGUCCAAUUCCAUCCAACGUAAGUGGACUACAAAAUCUACAAUCACUCGACUUGUCAUCAAACCACUUGAAUGGGACUAUACCUUCCUGGAUAUUCUCCCUUCCUUCACUGACAGAGUUAAAGUUGAGUGAUAACACUUUGAGUGGAAAAAUUCAGGAGUUCAAGUCCAAAACAUUAUAUCUCGUUAGUCUAGAACAAAAUAAGCUGGAAGGUCCUAUUCCAACGUCACUCUUAAACCAGCAGUUCCUAAGAAUUCUUCUCCUUUCACACAAUAGCAUCAGUGGACAUAUUUCUUCAGCUAUCUGCAAUCUGAAAACAUUAAUACUACUAAAUUUGAGAAGCAAUAAUUUGGAGGGAAUAAUCCCACAAUGUUUGGGUGAGAUGAGUGAACUUAUGGUUUUGGAUUUAAGCAACAAUAGUCUUAGUGGGACAAUUAAUACAACUUUUAGUAUCGGAAACCCACUCUACAUCAUUUAAUUGGACUGGAAUAAGCUACAGGGGAAAGUCCCACUAUCUUUGAUCAAUUGUAAGAAAUUGGAACUUCUAGAUUUAAGUAACAAUGAGUUGAAUGACACGUUUCCAAAAUGGUUAGGAGACUUACCUAAUUUGCAGGUUUUAAACUUUAGAUCAAAUAAGUUCUAUGGACCUAUAAGGACUAACAACUUGUUUGCUAAAAUUCGAGUCAUAGAUCUCUCAUCCAAUAGAUUUAGUGGAAAUUUACCAGUGAGCUUUUUUGAGAAUUUUGAAGCCAUGAAAAUAAAUGAUGAGAACAAUGGAACCCGAAAGUAUGUAGCAGAUACAUAUUCUUAUUAUUACAAAAGUUCUUUGAUAGUGACAACGAAGGGACUGGAUAAUGAACUUCCUCAAGUUUCGACUACACAAAUAAUUAUCGAUCUCUCAAUGAAUAGAUUCAAAGGUCAGAUUCCAAGCAUUAUUGGAGAUCUCAUUGGACUACGUGUGUUGAACUUAUCACAUAAUGUCUUGGAAGGUCAUAUACCAGCAUCACUGCAGAAAUUAUCUGUACUUGAAUCAUUGGAUCUCUCAUGUAACAAAAUUGGCGGUGAAAUCCCACAACAACUUGCAUCCCUCACAUUUCUUGAAGUCUUAAAUCUCUCUCACAAUCAUCUUGUUGGGUGCAUCCCCAAAGGAAAACAAUUUGAUACGUUCGAGAACAAUUCAUACCUAGGAAAUGAUGGAUUACGAGGAUUGCCACCGUCAAGAGAUUGUGGUCGUAUUGAUAGGGUACGACAAUUGACAAUUCCACUUGAGCUAGAUCAAGAAGAAGAAGAUGAUGAUGAUUCACCAAUGAUCAGUUGGCAAGCAGUUCUCAUGGGUUACGGUUGUGGACUUGUUAUUGGACUAUCCGUAAUAUACAUAAUGUGGUCAACUCAAUAUCCAGCAUGGUUUUCCAGGAUGGAUGUAAAAUUGGAACACAUCAUUAGUACGAGAAUGAAAAAACACAAGAAAAGAUAUUAGUGUGCAGGAUUCAAGUUGUUGAGGAUGCAAUUAAAUGCCUUUAUCUUUCAUAGUUUGUGAUGUUCCCAUAAAAGUGUUUGUUAUCCUAUGAAUAAAGACAUGACUUUGAGACUCAAAUCAGAUUAUGUUUUCAUUUGUCUA